AUUGUAGCUCAGUUGGUAAGGUGUGAAAGCGUUAGCUUUUACACCCGAAGAGAGCAGAGGACUGAAAAUCCUUGUGUCGUUGGUUCAAUUCCAACCGAUGCCA
This 103-nucleotide transfer RNA is filed under the name Bacteroidales bacterium. RNAcentral's name for it is "tRNA-Phe". It matches the Rfam family "tRNA". Rfam says of the family: Transfer RNA (tRNA) molecules are approximately 80 nucleotides in length. Lineage: Bacteria; Pseudomonadati; Bacteroidota; Bacteroidia; Bacteroidales. The record is from RNAcentral.